CCCUUAGAUGUUCUGGGCCGCACGCGCGCUACACUGAUGCACUCAACGAGUCUCCACCUUGACCGAAAGGUCCGGGAAACCUUUGAACGCUGGUCGUGAUGGGGAUAGACUUUUGCAAUUUUUGGUCUUCAACGAGGAAUUCCUAGUAAACGCAAGUCAUCAACUUGCAUUGAUUACGUCCCUGCCCUUUGUACACACCGCCCGUCGCACUUACCGAUUGAAUGGUCCGGUGAAGCCUCCGGAUUGGCGCGCACCUCGGUGCCGCCGAGAAGUUGGCUAAACCUUACCAUUUAGAGGAAGGUGAAGUCGUAACA
Molecule: ribosomal RNA, 314 nt
Filed under: uncultured eukaryote
Lineage: Eukaryota
Description: partial 18S ribosomal RNA
Rfam family: Eukaryotic small subunit ribosomal RNA
Source: RNAcentral